UUUUGACCUCGGAUCAGGUAGAUAUACCCGCUGAACUUAA
RNAcentral lists this ribosomal RNA (40 nucleotides) under Alternaria destruens. Its description in RNAcentral is "partial 28S ribosomal RNA". The record is from RNAcentral. Lineage: Eukaryota; Fungi; Ascomycota; Dothideomycetes; Pleosporales; Pleosporaceae.